Molecule: long non-coding RNA, 981 nt
Filed under: Equus asinus (donkey)
Lineage: Eukaryota; Metazoa; Chordata; Mammalia; Perissodactyla; Equidae
Description: lncRNA (ENSEASG00005028469.1)
Source: RNAcentral
AUUGGCACGAGGGAUGGAAAAGGGCAGAGAGCGGUCUGGGAAAAGCAGGCAUAGGGAAUAGGAAGAACAACAGAGAACCUGUUGAAGGCUCACUAUGCCUGUGCCGUUUAGUCUUGUUUCUGUGGCCCGAGUGCAUACCUGAUGUUUUCCAUCGGUUGGAAUGGGAUGUUUUAUGGGCCACUGUGCCCACCUCACCACUCCGUUGCCAGUUUUCCCCUGGGCUCGCCUGAGGCGGAGGGAAGGAGCGCCACGGAGCCGGCAAGAGCAGCAGCAGAGCUGAGAACAUCAGUGCAGAGUCUACAUUCCAGCCCCGUCUCGGGCAGCGCCUGAAUUCAGGCGAGAGAAAGGUUCCGAGUUCAGGUUGAAGAUAUUUUUCUAUAAUUAUCCUGGACAACACAAGAAUCACAGACCUUAUGAGGAGAAAGAGGCGAAUAAACAGAAACAACAGUGUGUGUGCUUUCUCGGACAGGUGCAGCCCAGGCCUUGGUAAAGUACUUACAUGAAACACCUACAUGGAAUUUUGAAGCCACCCUUCUGCACAGCUGUCCCUUCUUUGCUGGAUGGAGGGGGCAUGUGGCCAGGAAUGUGGGUAGCUUCUAGGAGCUAAGAGAGGCCCCAAGCUGAUGGCCAGCAGGAAAAUGGAGACCUCAGUCCAACAGUCAAAAGGAACUGAACUCAGCUGACAACUUGAAUAAACUUGGGAGUGAAUUCUUUCCCAGAAGCUCCAAAAAGUAACAACACCUGGAUGAAAACUUAAUUUCAGCCUGCGAGACCUAAGCAGAGGAUCUAGCUAAACUGUGCCUGGACUUCUGACCUACAGAAACUGUGAGAUAAUAAACAGAUGUUGUCUUAGGCCUCUAAGUUUGUGAUAAUUUGUGAUGCAGCAAUAGCAAAUGAAGCAAAUAUGAACUGGAAAAGACCUUGGAGUGAUGACAAGUACUACAGCGUGAGGAAUGGAUGCCUGUGUACUGACUAGGCUGA